ACCCUGCUGGAGUGCGGGGGGGACCUCCAGCCCCCCGGGGGGUCCCUGCGCCUCCUCUGCCGAGGGUCCAGACCUGGACAGGGGCUGGAGUUCAUGGCAGAGAUCAGCUACGAUCUUUCCAGAACCUACUAUGCCCCAUUGGUGCAGGGCCGGUUCAGGAUCUCCAGGGACAACGGGCAGAGCUCAGUGACGCUGACCAUGAACAACCUCAAGGACGAGGAUUCCGGAUCCUAUAUCUGUGCCAAAUGCGCUGAUCUCAUACCUAGACCCCCAUCUUGA
Melozone crissalis (California towhee) is the source of this 279-nucleotide non-coding RNA. The record is from the annotation of a RefSeq genome assembly. Lineage: Eukaryota; Metazoa; Chordata; Aves; Passeriformes; Passerellidae.